This 465-nucleotide ribosomal RNA is filed under the name uncultured bacterium. RNAcentral describes it as "partial 16S ribosomal RNA". It matches the Rfam family "Bacterial small subunit ribosomal RNA", at positions 338 to 795 of the family's 1533-position model. The record is from RNAcentral.
CCUACGGGAGGCAGCAGUAGGGAAUCUUCCACAAUGGGCGCAAGCCUGAUGGAGCAACACCGCGUGAGUGAAGCAGGGUUUCGGCUCGUAAAGCUCUGUUGUUGGAGAAGAACGUGUGUGAGAGUAACUGUUCACGCAGUGACGGUAUCCAACCAGAAAGUCACGGCUAACUACGUGCCAGCAGCCGCGGUAAUACGUAGGUGGCAAGCGUUAUCCGGAGUUAUUGGGCGUAAAGCGAGCGCAGGCGGUUGCUUAGGUCUGAUGUGAAAGCCUUCGGCUUAACCGAAGAAGUGCAUCGGAAACCGGGCAACUUGAGUGCAGAAGAGGACAGUGGAACUCCAUGUGUAGCGGUGGAAUGCGUAGAUAUAUGGAAGAACACCAGUGGCGAAGGCGGCUGUCUGGUCUGCAACUGACGCUGAGGCUCGAAAGCAUGGGUAGCGAACAGGAUUAGAUACCCGAGUAGUC